Gossypium arboreum is the source of this 105-nucleotide non-coding RNA. The record is from Rfam. Lineage: Eukaryota; Viridiplantae; Streptophyta; Magnoliopsida; Malvales; Malvaceae.
AACCCAUGGUAUGAGCACCUGUGCAACAAUAGUUUGAAUCUUUCCCAUGCUUCAUAAUUAGUCACCCCCUCAAUUUGGCGAAAAUUAGUGAUGUCUUUGUUGGAU